AGUAGGAGUAAUUAAAUCAUUUUUUAUUGUUUUAGUAGGUGAGACCGAAUUAAACAUAUAUGACAGCGAUAGAGAAUUGAUAGUAACGUGAGUGAAGGUUUUAAUCAGUGGGGCAGCAACGGUGAGAUCGUGUACCUUUUGCAUCAUGGCUCUACUACUUUUUAUUCACAUGAGGUAGCCCGAAAGUUUAAUGAUCUACUUCUUUGCCAUGGGUUGGCGUUGAAUUGCUAUCCAGAGAUGGGGAGGUAGCGGCGACAUACUUUUCGCAUUAGCUGGUAGCUGGUUGUUCUGGAAAUAUAUCUAAGUAUAGCCCUACUUUGGGACAGAUUCUACAGUUAUAGUUUUUCUUGGCUUGCCAAGAUGCUGUCCUCUUUUAGGAGAUGGCCCCUCCAGGCUAAGCUGGGGGGGUGCCUGAAAAGGAUGAUUGGUGAAGUCUUAGGUUUGGAAGUAGGUUUUAAGGAGCCAUCUUUUUGGAGUGGGUUUCACCUCACACUAACCUUCAUUACAAAUAAUAAUGGAUUUAUCUUUUAAUUGUACGGUACCUUCUUACGAAACUACUUCAGUAGGAGUGAUAAUGUAGAGAUGAGUAGUCGAGAUAGUUUGUAAUUAUUUUUUGUUUCAGGGUAAAAAAUAAGAAUAUAAGAAUGCGUAUUGGAAAACAAACCUUAAGGAACUCGGCAAAAUAGAGGACCGCCUGUUUAUCAAAAACAUGGCUUUCUGAAGAACAUGGGGGGUCGUGCCUUCCCAGUGGGCAUACGAGCCUAAACGGACGCGGUAAAUCGUGCUAAGGUAGCUAAAUUAUGGCCUAUUAAUUGUAGGUCCUGUGAAUGGUUUGACGAGUCCUCGACUGUCUCGAGGUUGUUUUGGUGAACUUGAAUUGAAUGUGCAAAUGCUUUCAUGGGAAAGAAAGACGAGAAGACCCCGUGAAGUUAGAAAUUCCUAUUACAGCGUUAAUCCGCUUUGAUGUUUGUAGAUCAGGCGUUUUAGAACUUUAAUUUUCCAAUACGGCUAGAGUUAGGGGUAUUGGAUGUUUAUAGUUUUUAAGUAGGGGAGUGUGGUUUUGAUGAGUUUUGGCUGGGGCAGCAAAGAGGCAAAACUAGACCUCUUUAGAUACACAACGGGUGCGUUACGACCCACAAAAAUGAAUUGUGUGAUUAGCAGAAUGAGUUACUCCGGGGAUAACAGCGUAAUCUUCCUUGAUAGUUCUUAUAGAUGGGCGGGUUUGCGACCUCGAUGUUGGCUCUGGGUAUCCUGAGGCUUGCAGGCGGUCUCAAGGGUUGGUUCGUUCGCCCAUUAAAACCUGACGUGAGCUGAGUUCAGAUCGGUGAAAGCUAGGUCGGUUUCUAUCUUCUUUCUGGUAAAUUUGGGUAGUAGGGUACGAAAGGACAUUCAACUUUAGGAUAAGGUUCUGUCGUCACUGAAGGAAAAAUAA
This 1432-nucleotide ribosomal RNA is filed under the name Azumapecten farreri. RNAcentral's name for it is "large subunit ribosomal RNA". It matches the Rfam family "Bacterial large subunit ribosomal RNA". Lineage: Eukaryota; Metazoa; Mollusca; Bivalvia; Pectinida; Pectinidae. The record is from RNAcentral.